RNAcentral lists this ribosomal RNA (566 nucleotides) under Neodecilaus picus. Its description in RNAcentral is "SSU rRNA". It matches the Rfam family "Eukaryotic small subunit ribosomal RNA", at positions 15 to 559 of the family's 1831-position model. The record is from RNAcentral. Lineage: Eukaryota; Metazoa; Arthropoda; Insecta; Coleoptera; Curculionidae.
UGCCAGUAGUCAUAUGCUUGUCUCAAAGAUUAAGCCAUGCAUGUCUCAGUACAAGCCAAAUUAAGGUGAAACCGCGAAAGGCUCAUUAAAUCAGUUAUGGUUCCUUAGAUCGUACCCACAAUUACUUGGAUAACUGUGGUAAUUCUAGAGCUAAUACAUGCAAACAGAGCUCCGACCGGAGACGGAAGGAGUGCUUUUAUUAGAUCAAAACCAAUCGCUGGCGGGUUCGCUCGUCAUCGUACAACUUGGUGACUCUGAAUAACUUUACGCUGAUCGCACGGUCAUCGCACCGGCGACGCAUCUUUCAAAUGUCUGCCUUAUCAACUGUCGAUGGUAGGUUCUGCGCCUACCAUGGUUGUAACGGGUAACGGGGAAUCAGGGUUCGAUUCCGGAGAGGGAGCCUGAGAAACGGCUACCACAUCCAAGGAAGGCAGCAGGCGCGCAAAUUACCCACUCCCGGCACGGGGAGGUAGUGACGAAAAAUAACGAUACGGGACUCAUCCGAGGCCCCGUAAUCGGAAUGAGUACACUCUAAACCCUUUAACGAGGAUCAAUUGGAGGGCAAG